Molecule: long non-coding RNA, 781 nt
Organism: Papilio xuthus (Asian swallowtail)
Lineage: Eukaryota; Metazoa; Arthropoda; Insecta; Lepidoptera; Papilionidae
Exons: 4
Source: RefSeq, a predicted model, not a curated record
UAUUAAAAACAUCAAUAAUAUUUUUUUUCCGCGAAAAAGAAAUAUUAAAAAUCAGUACAAUAUCGCUGAAUAAUACAGAAUCUUAGGCAAUUUAUUUCCUAACGUAAUAUUACGAAGAAAUCGAAUAACGCUUCCGAACGAUCGCCGAGUCACGAGUGUCCGUGCUUUUGCGGUAAUAAAAUUAAAAAGGUAAAAAUAAGCGCGCGAAAACAUUACCAAGAUGGCGUGAACGAUAUGUAAGUGUGCAAUGUUUCAACUGAUUAUCUUUUGCUAGUUAAUUUUGUGUAUUUUUUUAUAAAGUAAUAGUACAUAUAAAUAUUGCAAGUAAAGCGUGAAACGGAAAAUUUAACAAAAUUUAAAAAAGUUGUUGGUGGGUAUCAUUUAAAAAUAUAUGACAGUUUGUAUUGACGGAUCACAGUUUUAUUACUAAUUUUAAUACCGUCGUUGAAAAGUUUUACCGCCAUUAGUGUUUUUGUGUUUGCUUUGUGAGUGAUAAAUAUUGAAAAAUAAUACUCGUGCCGUGCGCUUCCUGCAUGCUGACGGGAUGACAACUUACAAUCGACCUAUCCGCACAACACUUAAGGUACAUAACUCAUCGUAGUAGAAUCCAGUUAAUGGAGGCGCAGGCGCAGUAUGACAAACAGUGAUCAUCGCAAAUCACCCGCCGUGUGGGACGAGACGCAGCGGUGCGCGGGAUGCAAUGGAAAACAUAAAAUGGAACUAUAACACUCUGGCUGUUUGGAGUAGUCUCAAACUCUGUCUGAUUUAAUGAAGAAGUAGG